CACUCAAGGCUCGUCUUACUGGUGGAGGUGAGUUUUGCAGAACACUGAAUGGUGCAUUGCACUGAGAAGUUGGUGACAGGGAAAACCUUGGAAAAGGGAAAAUCUUGACAGGGAAAAGUCUUGCGCAGGUGAAGGAGAAAUACAUGAGCCAGCAUAAAGAGAAGCCUCCCACCUCUGGAAUACACAGAGGUGAAGCAACUCUUAGCAGGGGACACAGUAGCAAAUCUGGAGGCUCACUGAAGCGGAGUUGCUGUGCCUGUGUCGGUGAUUGCCCUGGCUGCUCGGUUAACGAGCAAAAGAGAUUGUGCUGCCUUUGUGUUUACUUCUGGUAUCGCUUCCCCGUAAUUGCAAGGGACCCGACAGACAAUACAGGGUGAGAGAAGGCUGCUUCAGAGAGAAAACACGCUGUUUCGCUGUUUCGGAGAGAGAGGACACACUGCACAGAGAGGGGUGCAGGCAUGGAGACAAGGACCUGUUCUUACCCUUUGGCAGCAGUUACCAGAAGAUCAAAGGUGAGGUACUGAGUUUCUGACAUCUCCAUGCUCCUUCAGCUGGGUUUGCUGUGGUGCAACACUACCAGCAGAAAUUUCUGAAGCCCAAAGGUCUGCUGGAUCACCUGGAAGCAUGAGCGCUUCCCAACAAGCCUGGAGGCAAGAAGAUAGGAUGCUAUUUUAACCCAGAAGAUGCUUUUACAUGCAGCAUCCGCUUGAGCUAUUUCCCGUAGUGGCAGUCAGCUGCCCUGGCACAUUUGCAACUGUCAGGGAGUUUCUAACAAAGAGAUAUUUUAAAUGCUGAAAGAAAUGCUUCUUUCCAGAUGGAAGGCAGGUAAGGAGGUACCCCAGUUGCCCUAGACUUUUGUGCAAGUGAGUGGCUGGCAGGGCAGCAGAGGCCACCUCUUGCCUUUUGUAUAUCCAUGGAGACCCUUGUCACUGUACGGAAGCAGAUGAAGCACGCCUGGAGCCAAUGGGAGCAGAGCAUCCUGCACCAACGAUGCCGAGGCUAACCCGUUUAUGUGCUGCAGAAAGAAGGCUCCCAGGAACUUCACAGGACCUGCUGCAGUGCCUGAAAGAUAUUUGGUGGAGUUUUAACCUGCUUCACAUUCCCCUUGCUCUUACCUUUCCCUCCUCUCAGUUAUAGCUCUCCUCUGCAGAGUGGUCUCUGCGAAGGGGCACCUCUGAAAUGAGAGGUCUUGCUGCAUCUGCCUGUCAAAGUCCCACUCACUGACUGUAUCAGCAGUGAUGUUUAGUGCUCCUCAGCCUUAUGGUACUCCUGUGAGAUCCAGAAUGAGUUUGCAGGCUUGGUAGGUAGAUUAAUAAUGUUAUCCCUCACAGGACAGGAGUUUGCCCUGUGGCAGAUCCCAGCUUUUUACCCUGAAAGAUGCACAUGCAUCCAGCUACAUAAAAUGUAGCUGAGUUGAAUCCUUGCUUGGACCUGUGGCAGGGCUGGGACACAUGCCUGGGCCCCCAAAGUACCACAUGCUCAUCUGCCAUGCAGCAUCGCUACAGCCUCUGCUGCCUUCCUGCUUCUUUUAGUUGUGUUCUGCAUGCUUCUCUGUGGUUCUGAGAACAUUGCCUGCUCCUCUGACUCUGAAGUGAACAGGUUCUGUUUACUUUCCAUUAUAAUAAUUAAUGCUAUUACUUUUAUUACAGGCCUACCUAGAAUCUGCCUCUGAGGGAUGCAUUAGAGAAGAUGAUAGUUAAACACAUGGGAUAGGACAGGCUCUGCCCUGCAGACUUGAUAGUACUGGUGUAGGUCUUCCUCGACUUGGAAAUGUGCCAGUCACUCUUCUAAUUAAAUGCAGGUGCCAAUUUGGUAAAACCAAGUUGUUGAACAUGGCUUUAUGAACAUGUCCCUCCUUUCAGAUUCUGUUUCCCACUUCCCUGAAGGAGUCACAGAUAGGAAGAACUGGUCAAUGCUUGCCUGAGACUUUCCAGAUCUGUUUAUUCUGGUCGUGCCCUGGUCAUCCAAAGGAACCCCUGCUGGGAUAUAUUCCAUGAGUAAAUACACACAGCAAAAACAGAGCAAGACCAACGGCUAUCUUUGGACCCCAGCCAUUUCUUCAGAAAACCAAAGUGGCAUUCUCAUGAAACGCAUGCACUCCUCCAGUAACUCCAGCAGAAGAAAUGCAAAGAGACGCAGAGAAGCAGCCAGCGCCUGCCACAGCCUGGGCCAAUGGAGGAAUCAUGGGGCAUUCAGGGAAGCUCUACUUCACCACCCUAUUACCUUCUUGAACAACUUGUCACUUGUAUACCACUCAACUUUCUGCAAGUCAUAGAAUCAUAGAAUCAAGGAAUAAUUUGGGUUGGAAGGGACCUUAAAGACCAUCCAGUUCCAACCCCCCUGCCCCCCACCAGACCAGGCUGCUCAAGGCCCCAUCUGACCUGCCCUUCAAUACCUCCAGGGAUGGGGCAUCCACAACUUCGCUGGGCAACCUGUGCCAGUGCCUCACAGCUCUCAUGGUGAAGAAAUUCCUCCUUAUGUCUAGUCUAAAUCUGCCCCUCUCCAGUUUAUACCCAUUGCCCCUCGUACUAUCAAUACGUGCCUUUGUAAGAAGUCCCUCCCAAGCUUUCUUGUAGCCCUUUCUGAUACUGGAAGGUCACUAUAACGUCUCCCAGAGCCUUCCCUUUUCCAGGCUGAACAACCCCAACUCUCUCAGCCUGUCCUCAUAUGGGAGGUGCUCCAGCCCUCUGAUCAUCUUCAUAGCCCUUCUCUGGACCCAUUCCAACAGUUCCAUAUCCUUGCUAUGUUGAUCCCCACUGAUCAGAAACAGUGGAAGCUCAGCAAUGGCAUAGGGUGCCUGGGUAGCGGGGAGAGCAGAGGAAGAAGAACCGGCUGAAUUUUGUAGGAAUCUUGGUUAAGUUGAAAUCAGAUCAAAAUUCUUCAGGGACUUUAAGGCAGAUCAUCACAAACAGGAGAUUACUGUGAACCUCAGGAGACUGCCAUAGGAUUAGCAGUACUUUUGUAUUAUAUUUUAGAAGUCUGUCACACUUGAAGUGAGAAACUCAUUCCUCAGGUUAUUUUCCCUGUGAAAAUUGUUCUGCAAGUGCAAGGUGUGCCCUAGAGCAUUCCAAUUCAAAAGAAAAAAAGCACUGCCUUGAAGUAAACCAUAAAAUGCUUUGGGUGUGGGCUGGUGUGAGCCUGGAGAGGGGCUUCGCAGGUGGAUUCUCACACUGACAGCAAGAACAGCUGCAGCCUCUGAACAGGGAGACUCGAAUGUCACCC
This is a long non-coding RNA of Cuculus canorus (common cuckoo), 3222 nucleotides long. RefSeq lists it as uncharacterized. The transcript has 5 exons. Lineage: Eukaryota; Metazoa; Chordata; Aves; Cuculiformes; Cuculidae. The record is from RefSeq and is a predicted model, not a curated record.